GCUGGGGCUAUUAAAAUAAGGUCUUCUGCGCAGGGCUUCUGCGCUUAUUGCUCUUUCUUCUGAGAGCAGUGUAUAAGCGCAGAAGCCCUGGGUAUGAGGUUGAUAUCAUUUAUUGGAUUUAUCUGGCUUAGGCCAACUUCGAGGACACUGGAAACCAGGCUUAAACAAAUUUAUUGCAACUCCACAUUUUGACCCUUCAACUGAUUUUCUCAAAAAAUUUAAUGCCACCCCCCCCUUCUAGUAAAUUAUUUAUACUCAUGGGGUCAUGGCCCCACCUUUUGCCUCCCCCUCCCUCUCCAUAAAUAAGGACUGGUCCCUAACUGCAGGAAAAAUAUGUGCACUUCACAGAACAUUUAUAACAAUUCAUAAUUUAUUACUUUUGCCUCAGGCUGGGUAACCACAACAGAAGUUGCCAAAUAGGCCCUUUGAAGGUAGCUUGCGUGUCAGGCUCGAUGCUUGAAAUAGAGCCUGUUAUACCCUGUGAGCAAAGUCCUCUCGUAUUUCUUCUCGGCACGGCACGGAGAAGCGAGAGAGACUCUGCAGAACUUGUGUAUAAAUUCAUUUGAGCAUGCGCGAAGGUUGCUAAGCAACUGCCUAUUUCCCAGAAGAAGAUUUAAUAAGUAGUUUCCGGUUCGGAUCAAAACCGGUUAUAAAACUGGUAUCAAACCUGAAAUUACUCAUAAUUAUCCAAGUUUUUGGAUUGUCGGCUCCACAAAGAAUAUACACAAGUUCUGCAGAGUCUCUCUCGUGCUGAGAAGAAAUACGAGAGGACUUUGCCCACAGGGUAAGCCUGUUACUGAAGUCAAUAAAAAGAGGACAGUGAUUGGGAUGCACAAAAAUAACAACCAAUCAAAAUGGCGAUUGUUAAUCACGUAUCAGUCAAUUCCAGCAGUGCCCAUCUCCCCGAGGUAUUAGCCAUUUCUGGGAAGAAAAUGGCUAUGUCCACAAGCCAUUUGCAAUCAAAUUAAAUAUCAGUUUUCCAGCAAAUCUACGAAAUCCCCCAUGAUGGAAAAUGUCAAAAUCCUCACCCCAGGGCUAAAAAAUAUCGGCAAUAGCCCCACCCCCGUUAUUAGGGAAAGCUGCAAAGGCCCAGGGGUGGGAACUGCUGGAAUUAAUUGAUACAUUAGAUUAUCAAAGCUAAUUUAAAAUAUGACAAUAACGGCCAACUUUUCCACUAAUAUCUCAAAACUAAAUAUUCCAAUUUUCAUCGAAUGGCCAGGAAUUACAUAUUAAAUAAUAAUAAUAAUUGUUAUUGACUGCGGCAAAGGCAGUCAUUAACAUGGCCAAAAGUAGUUAAAGUACAAUUACAAGUACGGAAUAUCAUUACAUAAACAACAAUUUGACAUUACCUUAAAAACAAAGCUAUUUAUUUCUGACCAAUGGGAAUUUUGCGUACAAAUCAUGUGCAUCAAUCCUUUUUACUGACCUCAGUAGCAGGCUUUAUUUCAAGCAUAGAGCCUGACACGCUAGUUACUUUUAAUAACCCAUUGAG
Molecule: non-coding RNA, 1492 nt
Organism: Paramuricea clavata
Lineage: Eukaryota; Metazoa; Cnidaria; Anthozoa; Malacalcyonacea; Plexauridae
Source: the annotation of a GenBank genome assembly